This 461-nucleotide ribosomal RNA is filed under the name uncultured bacterium. RNAcentral describes it as "bacterial SSU rRNA". It matches the Rfam family "Bacterial small subunit ribosomal RNA", at positions 339 to 792 of the family's 1533-position model. The record is from RNAcentral.
UUACGGGAGGCAGCAGUGGGGAAUUUUGGACAAUGGGGGCAACCCUGAUCCAGCCAUGCCGCGUGAGUGAAGAAGGCCUUCGGGUUGUAAAGCUCUUUCGGACGGAAAGAAAUCCUAUCCGCUAAUACCGGGUAGGGAUGACGGUACCGUCAGAAGAAGCACCGGCUAACUACGUGCCAGCAGCCGCGGUAAUACGUAGGGUGCGAGCGUUAAUCGGAAUUACUGGGCGUAAAGCGUGCGCAGGCGGUUUUGUAAGACAGGUGUGAAAUCCCCGGGCUUAACCUGGGAACUGCAUUUGUGACUGCAAGGCUAGAGUGUGGCAGAGGGGGGUAGAAUUCCGCGUGUAGCAGUGAAAUGCGUAGAUAUGCGGAGGAAUACCGAUGGCGAAGGCAGCCCCCUGGGUCAACACUGACGCUCAUGCACGAAAGCGUGGGGAGCAAACAGGAUUAGAUACCCUCGUA